GCCGGAUUUUAUCCUUUUAGAGGAACCUGUCCUGUAAUUGAUAGUCCACGAGGUUGAAGUACUUAUUUUUGUUUUUCAUUUUGUAAAACCUCCGUCAUAAGAGUAUUCUUUUUAGAGUUAAUAUUCUAUUAAUACAAAAUAUAAUAUGUCAGGUCAAGGGCAAUUUAUGAAUAAGUAGAGAUGGGUUACAAUAAAAUUAUUUAUAUGGAUUAUUAUUUUUAAUUGAUAUUAUGAAGGUGGAUUUAAAAGUAAAAUUAUUAUCUUAAUAAUUUGAUUUUGGCUCUAAAAUAUGCACACAUCGCCCGUCGCUCUUAUUUUAAAAUAAGAUAAGUCGUAACAUAGUAGGAGUACCGGAAGGUGUUCCUAG
This 367-nucleotide ribosomal RNA is filed under the name Acisoma panorpoides. Its description in RNAcentral is "partial 12S ribosomal RNA". Lineage: Eukaryota; Metazoa; Arthropoda; Insecta; Odonata; Libellulidae. The record is from RNAcentral.